RNAcentral lists this non-coding RNA (24 nucleotides) under Arabidopsis thaliana (thale cress). The record is from RNAcentral. Lineage: Eukaryota; Viridiplantae; Streptophyta; Magnoliopsida; Brassicales; Brassicaceae.
CGAUACUUCAUGGUCCUCAUUGAC